Molecule: ribosomal RNA, 300 nt
Filed under: uncultured Desulfotalea sp.
Lineage: Bacteria; Pseudomonadati; Thermodesulfobacteriota; Desulfobulbia; Desulfobulbales; Desulfocapsaceae
Description: partial 16S ribosomal RNA
Rfam family: Bacterial small subunit ribosomal RNA
Source: RNAcentral
UCAAAUGACGUGCAAGUGGCCGCGGCAAUACUGAUGGGUCGAGCGGUGUCUGCACUGUUUGAGCGUAAAGAGGCGGUAGUGGGGCUCGUGGGUCCGCUGUUAAAACGCGAGGCUGAACCUGGAGAUGUCAUCGGGAAUGAGUUGGCUAGAGUGCGGAAGAGGAAAGUGUAAUUCCUGGUGUAGCGGUGAAAUGCGCAGAUAUCAGGAAGAACACCAAUGGCGAAGGCAGCUCUCUGGGACGGUACUGACGCUGAGGCGCGAAAGCGUGGGGAGCGAACAGGAUUAGAUACCCCAGUAGUC